RNAcentral lists this ribosomal RNA (537 nucleotides) under uncultured bacterium. Its description in RNAcentral is "partial 16S ribosomal RNA". It matches the Rfam family "Bacterial small subunit ribosomal RNA", at positions 355 to 883 of the family's 1533-position model. The record is from RNAcentral.
UGGGGAAUUUUGGACAAUGGGCGAAAGCCUGAUCCAGCCAUGCCGCGUGCAGGAUGAAGGCCUUCGGGUUGUAAACUGCUUUUGUACGGAACGAAAAGACUCUGGUUAAUACCUGGGGUCCAUGACGGUACCGUAAGAAUAAGCACCGGCUAACUACGUGCCAGCAGCCGCGGUAAUACGUAGGGUGCAAGCGUUAAUCGGAAUUACUGGGCGUAAAGCGUGCGCAGGCGGUUAUAUAAGACAGAUGUGAAAUCCCCGGGCUCAACCUGGGAACUGCAUUUGUGACUGUAUAGCUAGAGUACGGCAGAGGGGGAUGGAAUUCCGCGUGUAGCAGUGAAAUGCGUAGAUAUGCGGAGGAACACCGAUGGCGAAGGCAAUCCCCUGGGCCUGUACUGACGCUCAUGCACGAAAGCGUGGGGGAGCAAACAGGAUUAGAUACCCUGGUAGUCCACGCCCUAAACGAUGUCAACUGGUUGUUGGGGUCUUCACUGACUCAGUAACGAAGCUAACGCGUGAAGUUGACCGCCUGGGGGUAGU